GACGAACGCUGGCGGCGUGCUUAACACAUGCAAGUCGAACGCUGAAGCUCAGCUUUUGUUGGGUGGAUGAGUGGCGAACGGGUGAGUAACACGUGAGUAACCUGCCUCCUUCUUUGGGAUAACGCCCGGAAACGGGUGCUAAUACUGGAUAUUCACUGGUCUUCGCAUGGGGGUUGGUGGAAAGGGUUUUUCUGGUGGGGGAUGGGCUCGCGGCCUAUCAGCUUGUUGGUGGGGUGAUGGCCUACCAAGGCUUUGACGGGUAGCCGGCCUGAGAGGGUGACCGGUAACAUUGGGACUGAGAUACGGCCCAGACUCCUACGGGAGGCAGCAGUGGGGAAGAUUGCACAAUGGGCGCAAGCCUGAUGCAGCGACGCCGCGUGAGGGAUGGAGGCCUUCGGGUUGUGAACCUCUUUCGCUCAUGGUCAAGCCGCAACAAUGGUUGUGGUGAGGGUAGUGGGUAAAGAAGCGCCGGCUAACUACGUG
RNAcentral lists this ribosomal RNA (483 nucleotides) under uncultured bacterium. RNAcentral describes it as "partial 16S ribosomal RNA". It matches the Rfam family "Bacterial small subunit ribosomal RNA", at positions 28 to 507 of the family's 1533-position model. The record is from RNAcentral.